UUGGAGGGCAAGUCUGGUGCCAGCAGCCGCGGUAAUUCCAGCUCCAAUAGCGUAUAUUAAAGUUGUUGCAGUUAAAAAGCUCGUAGUUGAAUUUCGGGAUCAAUUUAUCGGUCGUGCCUACGGUAUGAACUGGUACAAUUGGUUUCUCCCUUCUGACGAAGCAUGAUGUCAUUAAUUUGGUGUCGUGGGGAAUCAGGACUGUUACUUUGAAAAAAUUAGAGUGUUUAAAGCAAGCAUUAGCUUGAGUACAUUAGCAUGGAAUAAUGAAAUAGGACGUUUGAUCCUAUUUCGUUGGUUUCUAGGAUCGACGUAAUGAUUAAUAGGGAUAGUUGGGGGCAUUAGUAUUCAAUUGUCAGAGGUGAAAUUCUUGGAUUUAUUGAAGGCUAACUACUGCGAAAGCAUUUGCCAAGGAUGUUUUCAUUAAUCAAGAACGAAAGUUAGGGGAUCGAAGACGAUCAGAUACCGUCGUAGUCUUAACCAUAAACUAUGCCGACUAGGGAUCGGAUGAUGUUAAUUUUUUAAUGACUCAUUCGGCGCCUUACGGGAAAC
RNAcentral lists this ribosomal RNA (549 nucleotides) under uncultured Glomeromycotina. RNAcentral describes it as "SSU rRNA". It matches the Rfam family "Eukaryotic small subunit ribosomal RNA", at positions 548 to 1098 of the family's 1831-position model. The record is from RNAcentral. Lineage: Eukaryota; Fungi; Glomeromycota.